ACGAACGCUGGCGGCAGGCCUAACACAUGCAAGUCGAACGCCGUAGCAAUACGGAGUGGCAGACGGGUGAGUAACGCGUGGGAACCUUCCCAGUGGUACGGAAUAGCUCAGGGAAACCUGGGGUAAUACCGUAUACGCCCUUCGGGGGAAAGAUUUAUCGCCCAGGGAUGAGCCCGCGUAGGAUUAGCUAGUUGGUGGGGUAAAGGCCUACCAAGGCGACGAUCCUUAGCUGGUCUGAGAGGAUGAUCAGCCACACUGGGACUGAGACACGGCCCAGACUCCUACGGGAGGCAGCAGUAGGGAAUAUUGGACAAUGGGGGCAACCCUGAUCCAGCAAUGCCGCGUGAGUGAUGAAGGCCUUAGGGUUGUAAAGCUCUUUUACCCGAGAUGAUAAUGACAGUAUCGGGAGAAUAAGCCCCGGCUAACUCCGU
RNAcentral lists this ribosomal RNA (431 nucleotides) under uncultured bacterium. RNAcentral describes it as "bacterial SSU rRNA". It matches the Rfam family "Bacterial small subunit ribosomal RNA", at positions 29 to 506 of the family's 1533-position model. The record is from RNAcentral.